GCUGGGAUGGCGGAAUUGGCAGACGCGCUAGCUUGAGGGGCUAGUGGGCGAAAGCUUGUGGGGGUUCAAAUCCCCCUCCCAGCACCA
This 87-nucleotide transfer RNA is filed under the name Omnitrophica WOR_2 bacterium SM23_29. Its description in RNAcentral is "tRNA-Leu". It matches the Rfam family "tRNA". From Rfam's summary of the family: Transfer RNA (tRNA) molecules are approximately 80 nucleotides in length. Their secondary structure includes four short double-helical elements and three loops (D, anti-codon, and T loops). Lineage: Bacteria; Pseudomonadati; Candidatus Omnitrophota. The record is from RNAcentral.